GGGGGUGUAACUCAGUGGUACAGUGCUUGCCUAGCAUGCAAAAUUAUUGGUUCCAUCCCCAACACCAGCA
Molecule: transfer RNA, 70 nt
Filed under: Marmota monax (woodchuck)
Lineage: Eukaryota; Metazoa; Chordata; Mammalia; Rodentia; Sciuridae
Description: tRNA.Ala
Rfam family: tRNA (bases 1-61)
About the family: Transfer RNA (tRNA) molecules are approximately 80 nucleotides in length. Their secondary structure includes four short double-helical elements and three loops (D, anti-codon, and T loops).
Source: RNAcentral